UACGGGGGGAGCAAGCGUUGUUCGGAUUUACUGGGCGUAAAGGGCGCGUAGGCGGUUGGAUAAGUCUUGUGUGAAAUCUUCGGGCUCAACUCGAAGUCUGCACAAGAAACUAUCUGGCUUGAGUGUGGGAGAGGUGAGUGGAAUUCCUGGUGUAGCGGUGAAAUGCGUAGAUAUCAGGAGGAACACCUGUGGCGAAAGCGGCUCACUGGACCACAACUGACGCUGAGGCGCGAAAGCUAGGGGAGCAAACAGG
Molecule: ribosomal RNA, 253 nt
Filed under: uncultured bacterium
Lineage: Bacteria
Description: partial 16S ribosomal RNA
Rfam family: Bacterial small subunit ribosomal RNA
Source: RNAcentral